CCGGUGUAACUGGCGACUAGUGGAAGAGACCACAAUGGAGCACCGGAAUAUACGGCCGGUCGCCUGGGCAA
This 71-nucleotide non-coding RNA is filed under the name Paenibacillus senegalensis. RNAcentral describes it as "ZMP/ZTP riboswitch". It matches the Rfam family "ZMP/ZTP riboswitch aptamer (pfl RNA motif)", at positions 6 to 81 of the family's 86-position model. Rfam says of the family: Previously known as pfl RNA. Lineage: Bacteria; Bacillati; Bacillota; Bacilli; Caryophanales; Paenibacillaceae. The record is from RNAcentral.